This 245-nucleotide ribosomal RNA is filed under the name Citrobacter freundii. RNAcentral's name for it is "partial 23S ribosomal RNA". It matches the Rfam family "Bacterial large subunit ribosomal RNA", at positions 1 to 237 of the family's 2925-position model. The record is from RNAcentral. Lineage: Bacteria; Pseudomonadati; Pseudomonadota; Gammaproteobacteria; Enterobacterales; Enterobacteriaceae.
GGGUUGUGAGGUUAAGCGACUAAGCGUACACGGUGGAUGCCCUGGCAGUCAGAGGCGAUGAAGGACGUGCUAAUCUGCGAUAAGCGUCGGUAAGGUGAUAUGAACCGUUAUAACCGGCGAUUUCCGAAUGGGGAAACCCAGUGUGAUUCGUCACACUAUCAUUACGUGAAUACAUAGCGUAAUGAAGCGAACCGGGGGAACUGAAACAUCUAAGUACCCCGAGGAAAAGAAAUCAACCGAGAUUC